RNAcentral lists this ribosomal RNA (497 nucleotides) under uncultured bacterium. RNAcentral's name for it is "partial 16S ribosomal RNA". It matches the Rfam family "Bacterial small subunit ribosomal RNA", at positions 28 to 507 of the family's 1533-position model. The record is from RNAcentral.
GAUGAACGCUGGCGGCGUGCCUAAUACAUGCAAGUCGAGCGGACAGACGAGGAGCUUGCUUCUCUGAUGUUAGCGGCGGACGGGUGAGUAACACGUGGAUAACCUACCUAUAAGACUGGGAUAACUUCGGGAAACCGUAGCUAAUACCGGAUAAUAUUUUGAACCGCAUGGUUCAAAAGUGAAAGACGGUCUUGCUGUCACUUAUAGAUGGAUCCGCGCUGCAUUAGCUAGUUGGUAAGGUAACGGCUUACCAAGGCAACGAUUCGUAGCCGACCUGAGAGGGUGAUCGGCCACACUGGAACUGAGACACGGUCCAGACUCCUACGGGAGGCAGCAGUAGGGAAUCUUCCGCAAUGGGCGAAAGCCUGACGGAGCAACGCCGCGUGAGUGAUGAAGGUCUUCGGAUCGUAAAACUCUGUUAUUAGGGAAGAACAAAUGUGUAAGUAACUGUGCACAUCUUGACGGUACCUAAUCAGAAAGCCACGGCUAACUACGUG